UCAAGAUCAAAACAGAAGAGAAGAAGAUAGACAAGAAGCUUGUGGAGGGCUUGGUCUUAGAGAAGAGAUUAGAGGAUCUUUGGUUAGGUCGGAUCUGGAGCUUGACGGGAUCCAUUUGAUUGUUGGGUUUAGAAUAGACCCGAGUGCGGGCGUGCGAUCUUCGCAUCAAAGAAAAGGGACUGAAUUGGAGAGCAAAAGAGAAUCAUAUGAUUAU
This 214-nucleotide unclassified non-coding RNA is filed under the name Hevea brasiliensis (rubber tree). Lineage: Eukaryota; Viridiplantae; Streptophyta; Magnoliopsida; Malpighiales; Euphorbiaceae. The record is from RNAcentral.